This 235-nucleotide ribosomal RNA is filed under the name uncultured Neisseriales bacterium. Its description in RNAcentral is "partial 16S ribosomal RNA". It matches the Rfam family "Bacterial small subunit ribosomal RNA", at positions 544 to 779 of the family's 1533-position model. Lineage: Bacteria; Pseudomonadati; Pseudomonadota; Betaproteobacteria; Neisseriales. The record is from RNAcentral.
AUCGGAAUUAUUGGGCGUAAAGCGAGUGUAGACGGUUAUUUAAGCCAGAUGUGAAAUACCCGAGCUUAACUUGGGAGGUGCAUAUGGAACUGGGUAGCUAGAGUGUGUCAGAGGGAGGUAGAACUCCACGUGUAGCAGUGAAAUGCGUAGAGAUGUGGAAGAAUACCGAUGGCGAAGGCAGCCUCCUGGGAUAACACUGACGUUGAGGCUCGAAGCGUGGGGAGCAAACAGGAUU